AGCGAACGCUGGCGGCAGGCCUAACACAUGCAAGUCGAACGAACUCUUCGGAGUUAGUGGCGGACGGGUGUGUAACACGUGGGAACGUGCCUUUAGGUUCGGAAUAACUCAGGGAAACUUGUGCUAAUACCGAAUGUGCCCUUCGGGGGAAAGAUUUAUCGCCUUUCGAGCGGCCCGCGUCUGAUUAGCUAGUUGGUGAGGUAAAGGCUCACCAAGGCGACGAUCAGUAGCUGGUCUGAGAGGAUGAUCAGCCACAUUGGGACUGAGACACGGCCCAAACUCCUACGGGAGGCAGCAGUGGGGAAUCUUGCGCAAUGGGCGAAAGCCUGACGCAGCCAUGCCGCGUGAAUGAUGAAGGUCUUAGGAUUGUAAAAUUCUUUCAACGGGGACGAUAAUGACGGUACCCGGAGAAGAAGCCCCGGCUAACUUCGUG
RNAcentral lists this ribosomal RNA (433 nucleotides) under uncultured bacterium. RNAcentral's name for it is "partial 16S ribosomal RNA". It matches the Rfam family "Bacterial small subunit ribosomal RNA", at positions 29 to 507 of the family's 1533-position model. The record is from RNAcentral.